CUCCUCCUUUCUCUCUCUUCCUUCCUUCUUCCUUCGUUCUUUCUUUCUCGUUCUUCUUCCUUCGUUCUCCUGUGCAGGCGACAGAGGAGGGGCUGGUGGCUAGGAGGGCAGUGGGGAGGCCAAGGAGAUGAGCGCUGGGGUCAGGGAGCCGAGGGGGUUCCAUUCCCCUCGGUGGUGAUGCCCAGGACGGCGCCGGGAGGGCCGGCGGC
This 209-nucleotide long non-coding RNA is filed under the name Oryza brachyantha (malo sina). RNAcentral's name for it is "long non-coding RNA (OBRA_LNC002589)". The record is from RNAcentral. Lineage: Eukaryota; Viridiplantae; Streptophyta; Magnoliopsida; Poales; Poaceae.